CAGCCGCCGCGGGAAUACGUAUGUCACGAGCGUUGUCCGGAUUUAUUGGGCGUAAAGCGAGCGCAGGCGGUUAGAUAAGUCUGAAGUUAAAGGCUGUGGCUUAACCAUAGUACGCUUUGGAAACUGUUUAACUUGAGUGCAAGAGGGGAGAGUGGAACUCCACGUGUAGCGGUGAAAUGCGUAGAGAUGAGGAGGAACACAGCGGCGAAGGCGACCCUCUGGUCUGUAACUGACGCUGAGGAGCGAAAGCGUGGGGAGCGAACAGGAUUAGAUACCCCAGUAGUUCCUGUCUCUUAUACAC
This 301-nucleotide ribosomal RNA is filed under the name uncultured bacterium. Its description in RNAcentral is "partial 16S ribosomal RNA". It matches the Rfam family "Bacterial small subunit ribosomal RNA", at positions 509 to 809 of the family's 1533-position model. The record is from RNAcentral.